RNAcentral lists this transfer RNA (91 nucleotides) under Sulfuriflexus sp. RNAcentral describes it as "tRNA-Ser". It matches the Rfam family "tRNA". Rfam says of the family: Transfer RNA (tRNA) molecules are approximately 80 nucleotides in length. Lineage: Bacteria; Pseudomonadati; Pseudomonadota; Gammaproteobacteria; Chromatiales; Granulosicoccaceae. The record is from RNAcentral.
GGAGAAGUGUCCGAGUGGUUGAAGGAGCACGCCUGGAAAGUGUGUAUACGUUUAUAGCGUAUCGAGGGUUCGAAUCCCUCCUUCUCCGCCA